RNAcentral lists this long non-coding RNA (340 nucleotides) under Coturnix japonica (Japanese quail). RNAcentral's name for it is "lncRNA (ENSCJPG00005016978.1)". The record is from RNAcentral. Lineage: Eukaryota; Metazoa; Chordata; Aves; Galliformes; Phasianidae.
AGUAAAUAUAUGGCUGCAAAGGGCUGGGGGAGAUAGCUCAGAACAAGAUGCCACAGCUGUGCAUACUUGUUCCUAACUGAGCACCUGACAGUACUAAUGAGGUGCUUGGAAGAGAGGUGCUGCUUCACACCCUGUAGCCAAGACCUCAGCCAACUAACUGGGAGAUGGGAAAACUGCAAACUGAGAGCAAGCAGUGUCUUUGUACCUCAAAUUCAUGAUCACUUUUACGUGCCUGUUUUACUACAGUCAUAAGUAGUAAUGGUCCAAACAUAGUCCUGAACAAUUAUUUUCAUCUCUUCACCUGCUAAUAAAGCCUGCAAUUACUGUAUCUGUAAAAUCA